CCGAGAUGGUGAACAAAGAAUAAAACUGAGUUCUCUUACUUAAUUAAACAAAAUGAACAUAACAAAAAUGAGAGUAUUAAUCUUUCAACAAUUUGGCACUAUUGUCAAGACGAUUUGUUGAGAGGAGAAAACUCCCAAUAAAACACCGAGAAACACGCUUUCAACAACCAUCACAAGAAGAGCAUAUUCAUUCUGAUUUACCUAAAGAAUGUAUGAUGUAAAAUAAUGAAAGAGGCGAAGAGAUAUGGUGAACCAAAUGGAACGGUCAAUGAGUCUAACACCAAAUAGAAUCAUGCACUGCAAAAACAAACAUAAUAUAUUAGCACAAGAAACAAAGCAAUAACAACAUCCUUAUUAAUAGAAGGGGCAGGGGAUCAAUAACCAAAACCCUUUAUUGUUGAUUUUGGCUUUGGCCAACACCCACAAGCCAUUACCAGGUCUGCACUUGAACCUAAAAAUCCAGCAUUAACCCAAAUGAGAAAACAGCCAAGAUAACAACAGCUAGAGAGAGAGGAUUGGCAGCAAACGAAGACAAUGACAAUAACGUGAUUUGUAGAAUCCUCACCAGGAAGAUAUGCAUAGAAUUGUUCUUGAAUGGACACAUUAAACUAGAGGAAUCAGUCACAAAAGUUCUUACUAAUGUACAUACAAUGGAUACAAUUAAUACUUCUAGCAUACAAACACCUCUUUGAAGAUAGUUAUAACCAUGAUUCCCUGUAUAAGGCAGAUGGUAGUUCAAAAGAAAAGCAGCAAACCAGAACACAUAUUCUCUUUUGGUUACACUUACACUCAAGUAAAUGAUAAUUAUUCCAAAUCAAUCAGACCAACCAGCCGUGAGUUACAUAAUAAAAGACAGUUGUCAUUCUACUCCAAUUAUGGUCAUCAUUGGCAAAUGAAAAUCCUCUCAAACAGUUACACAGGCUCAUAAUCAGCAUGAAUGGAGUAAUUAUUUGAGUAAUUUCGGAGGGGGCAAUCAGUGAGACUAAGUAUACCAGCCAAGAAUUUCAAAAGGGCAGUAAGGCAUCCAGGAGUUAUUCAGUUAUGCUUUCCUCAUGAAUGGCAAUAUCAGUGAGUAAAAAGGGAUAAACCAGAGCAAUUAAACAGAGGCAAAUAUUAUGCUUUCAGUUACACAAUCAGCCUAAAUGGCAACUUUAAUGCAUUGAUUCAGAAAACCAAUAAGUCAUGGCAUGUUACACAUUGUUGGUAAGUCAAAAAGUUUUCACAAACCAGCCAAUAACCUACAACCAUCUAUAAAAGGCAUGUCUCAAUUGGUGCACAAGGGAGCAGGAGAAAAAGUAAGCAGAGAAAAAGCAUACUGAUAUCACCCAUAUACACUUAACAAAGCAGAGAGCAUAAUCCAUACACAUAUAUCCAACAAGCAAUCAUAGAUAUUGCCUGCAUACCUACAAAUAUAGCAAAGGGAUACACACAGAUACAGAACAUCAAAGUAUACAUAGUUCUCAGCAGGGUAAAAAGGGGCUCCGUGUCAGACAAUUACAAAGUAAAGGUCCAAAGGAUAAAGGAAUAGACCUUCAUACAAUCAUCCUACUACAUCCCAGUGUCAGCAAUCUUAAAUAGGUACUAUAUUACCCUUCUCAAAUGUUAUUCUGAAAUGCUAAAUGAUUUAUAAUCGUAGGAAGUGAGUCAUUAUCAUAACACAUAAUGCUUUUAAAAAAUUGUUUAAUCUUAACCCUGUAAUUCAUGGUUUGUAAAUCCUUAUGUACGUUGUUUUGUUUUCCAAUGCUAUUCAUGGCAUAAACAUUAGGAACAUGUGUUACUCAUUAACAUGGGUAAGCCUGGUAUUACGAAAUAAAAAAAACAGGGACCUUUUGCAAUAUUUUCUCUUCAGCAAGAAAACACAUCAUCCAUUAACUGCACACUAAGUCCUUUUUUAUUUAAGCAAUCUGUAAUAUGAAAGGUAAAACACGACAACAUAAAAUAAGUAGAUCAAACACAACAACACGCUGUUAAGAACUUUGAGUUCAAUUCACAAAUCAGUAUAAACAGUAAAUAGAAAAAAAAAAAAACAUCUUGCAUUCAAGGGAUAUGGUACUUUACCUGUCCUUGGUGUUGCCGUGGUCGCGGUGGUAUACCACCGAGGAUGAUAAAGGAUGGUGGCCCCGAGGCUUCGCCAUCAUCGUGUCUCCCUAACCAUCCCAGUUCCAACCGUGGAUGAACCCUCUUCGUCGCCUUCCUAAGUCGCCGUUGCUGGAGAAGAACCCGCCACCGAGAGAAGAAAAACGCGUGAAGAGGAGAUGGUGCAGCGUCUCACCACCAUCGGCCCCGUCUCACCACCACCGCGGACCACUGCGAGCCGCCCCAAUGCUUCGAGCCGCCAUGAAUGGGGACCCCCGAGCCACCGUCACCACCACCGGAGAUGGAGCUAGAAAGGAAAUGGAGUUGGGGAUUAGGGAUUUCAAUUUUUUCCCUUAUCCUGCGUGAACAUGGGGUUAAGGGGAUAACACCCCUCAAUUACCCCUUUUGGUUUUACACGAGGC
This 2498-nucleotide long non-coding RNA is filed under the name Lupinus angustifolius (narrow-leaved blue lupine). RNAcentral describes it as "long non-coding RNA (LANG_LNC000490)". Lineage: Eukaryota; Viridiplantae; Streptophyta; Magnoliopsida; Fabales; Fabaceae. The record is from RNAcentral.